Molecule: ribosomal RNA, 1244 nt
Filed under: metagenome
Description: bacterial LSU rRNA
Rfam family: Bacterial large subunit ribosomal RNA
Source: RNAcentral
UGAGUACGAGAUGCUACGGCAUCGAAGCAGUCUAUGUCAUACUUCCAAGAAAAGCUUGCACUGUCAUAAACAAAGAAUGCCUGUACCAUAACCGACACAGGUGGGUAGGUAGAGUAUACUAAGGGGCGCGAGAUAACUCUCUCUAAGGAACUCGGCAAAAUGACUCCGUAACUUCGGGAGAAGGAGUGCCUUAUUUCUAAGGUUGCAAUAACAAGAUCCAAGCAACUGUUUACCAAAAACACAGGUCUCCGCUAAGUCGUAAGACGAUGUAUGGGGGCUGACGCCUGCCCAGUGCCAGAAGGUUAAAGAAGUUGGUUAGCAUUAGCGAAGCUGAUAACUGAAGCCCUGGUGAACGGCGGCCGUAACAAUAACGGUCCUAAGGUAGCGAAAUUCCUUGUCGGGUAAGUUCCGACCCGCACGAAAGGCGUAAUGAUUUGGAUACUGUCUCGGAGAGGGGCUCGGUGAAAUAGACUUGUCUGUGAAGAUGCGGACUACCUGCACCUGGACAGAAAGACCCUAUGAAGCUUUACUGUAACUUGAGAUUGAAAUUGGACUUUAUUUGCGCAGUAUAGGUGGGAGGCGUUGAGAAUAAUCUUGCGGGAUUGUUGGAGCCAUCAGUGAGAUACCACUCUUGUAAUGUUAGAUUUCUAACUUUGUAUCAUUAUCUGGUCAAAGAACAGUUUCAGGCGGGCAGUUUGACUGGGGCGGUCGCCUCCCAAAGGGUAACGGAGGCGCACAAAGGUUUCCUCUGAACGGGUAGAAAUCGUAUCUAGAGUGUAAAGGCAUAAGGAAGCUUGACUGUGAGACCUACAAGUCGAGCAGGGACGAAAGUCGGUCUUAGUGAUCUGACGGUGCUGAGUGGAAAGGCCGUCACUCAACGGAUAAAAGUUACUCUAGGAUAACAGGCUGAUCUCCCCCAAGAGUUCACAUCGACGGGGAGGUUUGGCACCUCGAUGUCGGCUCAUCGCAUCCUGGGGCGGUAGUCCGUCCCAAGGGUUGGGCUGUUCGCCCAUGAAAGCGGUACGCGAGCUGGGUUCAGAACGUCGUGAGACAGUUCGGUCCAUAUCCGGUGUAGGCGUUAGAAUAUUGAGAGGAGCCUUCUCUAGUACGAGAGGACCGAGAAGGACAUACCUCUGGUGUACCAGUUAUCGUGCCAACGGUAAACGCUGGGUAGCUAUGUAUGGAGUGGAUAACCGCUGAAAGCAUCUAAGUGGGAAGCCCACCUCAAGAUAAGUAUUCUCAUC